AUGAACGUGUCUUUUCAGUAAUUACAUGGUGACUAAUUUUACAUUCAAGCUAACCACUUAACUUUAAAUGUAUUUGAUUCUAUAGAUCAAGUAUAGACUUGGAAGCUUUGAAUAGAAAGCUAAGUAUGGGUUAUAACAAUAAGGAAAUAAAAUUAAUCUACUUGGAGUUCUUUUCUUUUAUCUAAACAAAUAAUCAGCUUUUAUGAUUUCAGGGCCAUUCAUUCCUCUUUCUUUCCUUAUAAAAGCAUUCACUCUGGUCACAAUUUUCUUUGUCUCUUUUGAUUACCUUGGGGACUCAGGCUAACACACCAGGUCUUACUCUCACUAACUUCAUGAUUCUUUUUCCCUACAAAGCUGAAUGUAGUUGAGGACCUUAGCGUAGCACAUCCAAAUGCGUUCUGCUUCCAUAGCAAAGGACUUUCAUGUUCAAUUUCACCAGGAUUUAAAAAGUGAAAUAUAAAUAUUUCAUUUUAGAAUUAUUAAAUGUUAACUGAACAUUUCGAGAAACAACAUCAUCUUGUUUGCCCCAGAGGGUCUCAGCCACCCUGCAGACUACCCACCUCCAGAUUAGGGCACCUGAGUCAAAGCUAUCCCCAGGAUGAAUAAGCAAGGCUCUGGAGAAAAUGAUCAGUUGGGGGCCAAUUCACUUUAGAACAGCAAUGAUGAUGCUCUUAUUCAUAGGUGUUGAAGGAAUGGUGAUACUUGGCUGGCAGAGUCUUUGUUUACUGAUUUAUUUCUCCCUCUUUUCUAGGAGAUACAGCAAAAGCUCAUACUGUCUGUAUAAUGCUUCCACAAGCACAGUCAUGGUCCUACUUGCUUUUCUGAUGCCAAUAUUUUUUGGAAUGGGCUGCUUGAGAAUGCAACCACUUGCCUCCAAAGAUGCUACAACUGAAGUCUAAACUGAAGGGAGUGAUGUGGCUGGGGAAGACACAGUGUGACUAAGAGCAGAACCAUUCUGUGGGAAGUCUCAGGUUCCUUAGUCAUGGUCUUGUUCCCACUUUGCUCUUCCUUUUCUCCUUUCCUUCUCUCUCCUUCUCUUCAUUCCUUUUUCCGUUUCUUUCCUUGAACUAUUUGUACACUUUAGCUCAUUGUACUUUAUUAUUUGUUCCUUUUUGUUUGUUUUAGUCUUCUCCAUCCUGGUUCUCAUUCCAAUCCAAACCCCACCAUGGGUUACAUACCGUCUUUGAUACAGGCUCUUAAAUGUGCCUUUACCUUAUAAACUCAGCAGUAGCAGUUUUGAUUGCGUAAUAAAUUCUACAGAAACUCAGGGGCCCUCUACCUG
Molecule: long non-coding RNA, 1282 nt
Filed under: Felis catus (domestic cat)
Lineage: Eukaryota; Metazoa; Chordata; Mammalia; Carnivora; Felidae
Description: lncRNA (ENSFCAG00000050401.1)
Source: RNAcentral